GCUUAGCAUCAUGAUUUACAUUUGAGUAGAGUAGGCGAACUGGUGAGUAACACGUGGGAAACCUGCCCAGAAGCGGGGGAUAACACCUGGAAACAGAUGCUAAUACCGCAUAACAACUUGGACCGCAUGGUCCGAGCUUGAAAGAUGGCUUCGGCUAUCACUUUUGGAUGGUCCCGCGGCGUAUUAGCUAGAUGGUGGGGUAACGGCUCACCAUGGCAAUGAUACGUAGCCGACCUGAGAGGGUAAUCGGCCACAUUGGGACUGAGACACGGCCCAAACUCCUACGGGAGGCAGCAGUAGGGAAUCUUCCACAAUGGACGAAAGUCUGAUGGAGCAACGCCGCGUGAGUGAAGAAGGGUUUCGGCUCGUAAAACUCUGUUGUUAAAGAAGAACAUAUCUGAGAGUAACUGUUCAGGUAUUGACGGUAUUUAACCAGAAAGCCACGGCUAACUACGUGCCAGCAGCCGCGGUAAUACGUAGGUGGCAAGCGUUGUCCGGAUUUAUUGGGCGUAAAGCGAGCGCAGGCGGUUUUUUAAGUCUGAUGUGAAAGCCUUCGGCUCAACCGAAGAAGUGCAUCGGAAACUGGGAAACUUGAGUGCAGAAGAGGACAGUGGAUCUCCAUGUGUAGCGGUGAAAUGCGUAG
This 643-nucleotide ribosomal RNA is filed under the name Lactiplantibacillus plantarum. Its description in RNAcentral is "bacterial SSU rRNA". It matches the Rfam family "Bacterial small subunit ribosomal RNA", at positions 67 to 693 of the family's 1533-position model. The record is from RNAcentral. Lineage: Bacteria; Bacillati; Bacillota; Bacilli; Lactobacillales; Lactobacillaceae.